GGUAGAAGGACUUACUCUUCGGAGUGAGAGCGUACACAGGUGCUGCAUGGCUGUCGUCAGCUCGUGUCGUGAGAUGUUGGGUUAAGUCCCGCAACGAGCGCAACCCUGCAUUCAGUUGCCAUCGGUAAGGCCGGGCACUCUGGAUGGACUGCCGGCGACAAGCCGGAGGAAGGUGGGGACGACGUCAAGUCAUCAUGGCCCUUAUGUCCAGGGCGACACACGUGCUACAAUGGCCGGCACAACGGGAAGCGAAGGGGCGACCCUGAGCGGAUCCCCAUAAAAGCCGGUCCCAGUUCGGAUUGCAGUCUGCAACUCGACUGCAUGAAGUUGGAAUCGCUAGUAAUCGUGGAUCAGCCAAGCCGCGGUGAAUACGUUCCCGGGCCUU
This 385-nucleotide ribosomal RNA is filed under the name uncultured Thermovirga sp. RNAcentral's name for it is "bacterial SSU rRNA". It matches the Rfam family "Bacterial small subunit ribosomal RNA", at positions 999 to 1382 of the family's 1533-position model. The record is from RNAcentral. Lineage: Bacteria; Thermotogati; Synergistota; Synergistia; Synergistales; Thermovirgaceae.